GGGAGGGGCCUGCGUCCUAUCAGCUUGUUGGUGGGGUAACGGCCUACCAAGGCGAUGACGGGUAGCUGGUCUGAGAGGACGGUCAGCCACACGGGCACUGAGACACGGGCCCGACUCCUACGGGAGGCAGCAGCAGGGGAUCUUGGGCAAUGGGCGAAAGCCUGACCCAGCGACGCCGCGUGGGGGAAGACGGCCUUCGGGUUGUAAACCCCUUUUCUCGGGGAAGAGAUAGGACGGUACUCGAGGAAUAAGUCUCGGCUAACUACGUGCCAGCAGCCGCGGUAAUACGUAGGCGGCGAGCGUUAUCCGGAUUUACUGGGCGUAAAGAGGGCGUAGGCAGUUUUUUAAGUCGAUUGUAAAAUCUCCCGGCUUAACUGGGAGGAGCCAGUCGAUACUGUUAGACUAGAGAGCAGCAGGGGGAGGUGGAAUUCCCGGUGUAGUGGUGAAAUGUGUAGAUAUCGGGAGGAACACCAGUGGCGAAGGCGGCCUCCUAGGCUGUUUCUGACGCUGAGGUCCGAAAGCGUGGGGAGCAAACAGGAUCAGAUACCCUGGUAGUCCACGCUGUAAACGAUGGACACUAGGUAUAGGGAGUAUCGACCCUCUCUGUG
RNAcentral lists this ribosomal RNA (608 nucleotides) under uncultured bacterium. RNAcentral describes it as "bacterial SSU rRNA". It matches the Rfam family "Bacterial small subunit ribosomal RNA", at positions 222 to 845 of the family's 1533-position model. The record is from RNAcentral.